RNAcentral lists this transfer RNA (82 nucleotides) under Chitinophagales bacterium. Its description in RNAcentral is "tRNA-Leu". It matches the Rfam family "tRNA". Rfam says of the family: Transfer RNA (tRNA) molecules are approximately 80 nucleotides in length. Their secondary structure includes four short double-helical elements and three loops (D, anti-codon, and T loops). Further hydrogen bonds mediate the characteristic L-shaped molecular structure. tRNAs have two regions of fundamental functional importance: the anti-codon, which is responsible for specific mRNA codon recognition, and the 3' end, to which the tRNAs corresponding amino acid is attached (by aminoacyl-tRNA synthetases). tRNAs cope with the degeneracy of the genetic code in two manners: having more than one tRNA (with a specific anti-codon) for a particular amino acid; and 'wobble' base-pairing, i.e. permitting non-standard base-pairing at the 3rd anti-codon position. The record is from RNAcentral. Lineage: Bacteria; Pseudomonadati; Bacteroidota; Chitinophagia; Chitinophagales.
GCGGGAAUGGCGGAAUUGGUAGACGCAUACGUUUCAGGUGCGUACGCCGAAAGGUGUGGGGGUUCGAGUCCCCCUUCCCGCA